Molecule: long non-coding RNA, 2826 nt
Organism: Oncorhynchus nerka (sockeye salmon)
Lineage: Eukaryota; Metazoa; Chordata; Actinopteri; Salmoniformes; Salmonidae
Exons: 3
Source: RefSeq, a predicted model, not a curated record
GCCAGGAGGUGAUGCCUCAUUUAACACAGUAAAUUCAUCAGGCUUAAGCCAUGUUUCAGUCAGGCCAAUCACAUUAAGAUUAUGAUCAGUGAUUAGUUCAUUGACUAUAAUUGCCUUUGAAGUAAGGGAUCUAACAUUAAGUAGCCCUAUUUUGAGAUGUGAGGUAUCACGAUCUCUUUCAAUAAUGACAGGAAUGGAGGAGGUCUUUAUCCUAGUGAGAUUGCUAAGGCGAACACCGCCAUGUUUAGUUUUGCCCAACCUAGGUCGAGGCACAGACACGGUCUCAAUGGGGAUAGCUGAGCUGACUACACUGACUGUGCUAGUGGCAGACUCCACUAAGCUGGCAGGCUGGCUAACAGCCUGCUGCCUGGCCUGCACCCUAUUUCAUUGUGGAGCUAGAGGAGUUAGAGCCCUGUCUAUGUUGGUAGAUAAGAUGAGAGCACCCCUCCAGCUAGGAUGGAGUCCGUCACUCCUCCGCAGGUCAGGCUUGGUCAUGUUUGUGGGUGAGUCCCAGAAAGAGGGCCAAUUAUCUACAAAUUAUAUCUUUUGGGAGGGGCAGAAAACAGUUUUCAACCAGCGAUUGAGUUAUAAGACUGCUUCAGAGCUCAUCACUCCCCCUAACUGGGAGGGGGCCAGAGACAAUUACUCGAUGCCGACACAUCUUUCUAGCUGAUUUACACGCUGAAGCUAUGUUGCGCUUGGUGACCUCUGACUGUUUCAUCCUAACAUCGCUGGUGCCGACAUGGAUAACAAUAUCUCUAUACUCGCCAGUUUUAGCUUUAGCCAGCACCAUCUUCAGAUUAACCUUAACGUCGGUAGCCCUGCCCCCUGGUAAACAGUGUCUGAUCGCUGGAUGAUUCGUUUUAAGCCUAAUACUGCGAGUAAUGGAGUCGCCAAUGACUUGAGUUUUCAAUUUGUCAGAGCUAAUGGUGGGAAGCUUCUGCAUCUCAGACCCCAUAACGGGAGGAGUAGAGACAAGAGAAGGCUUGGCCUCUGACUCCGACUCGUUGCUUAAUGGGGAAAACCGGUUGAAAUGUUCUGUUGGCUGAAUGAGCGACACCGGCUGAGCAUAGCUAAGUGAAUUAAAUACUACCAGCUACCUAACUUCAUAUUAGCUAGCUAUCUUGAUGUAUUUAUCACUAUAAAAAAUUUAAUUCAAAUGCAUUUGUAGGUAGCUAGCUAACAGCCAUGGAGGAGGGUGAAAGGAUAGCAGCCCCAACUGUCAGUGAGAGAGCAGGCUAUUCUGGAAAGGGCAGGUACUUUUGUGUAGUUCCUGUCCCUAGAAGUGAGGACGGAGGUAAUAGUAACAUAAUAUUUAGUGUGGUGUAAUUUGACUAUAAUGAAGUCUGUUUCUUGUGAGGUUUUCUGUCCUCAGAUAAAAAGCUACAUGAAAGUCAGUCUACAUAUGAAGAGGUCCCAAUGAAGAGCAGUGGUUCUCAGUCCUGGGGACUCAAAAGAGGCACAUUUUUGUUUUUGCCUCAGCACUGCACAGCUGAAUCAAAUGAUCAACUCAUCAUCAAGCUUCAAGUGAUACCUUGUAACGGGAGAUUCCUUCAAAACGAUUGCCUACAGUUACCAGGUAGGGCACUGCAAGGUUGGUUGACCAGGGUCAUCUGGGACUGCCUCCUGGAGGAAAUCAGGUGUGUGAAGGCUACCUGUGUCCUGCGUAACUUCAUGAGGAUGGACACGAGGACCAGGGGCGGAUCCGCAGCUCACCGCCGUGUCCCAGAGGAGAGGUCUGCUGCUCUGAAGGAUGUUUCAAGGAUGGGGUCCAACAACGCAGCAAGAGAGGCAAUCCGUGUGUAGGAAAUCUUCACCUCCUACUUCUUCAAAGAGGGUGCUGUUCCCUGGCAACACCAUAGACUACACUAUGCACAACCAAAGGCUCUUUUAGGAACCAUUCACAUUGCAAUAAGAGUAUUCUUCCAUUUAUUUAGGUAUGUCAACUGCAGUUAUACAAUUCACAGUUUCUCUCCCUUUGAUUUCUACUUCUCAUGUGAGGGUGCAGUUUAGGUAAGGGUGUGAUGUCUAUGCAAAAACAAAACAGGUUAUUUUAAGUCACCCAUAUGUAUCAAUCUGAUUGAUGGAUUGUGUUGUGCAGUAAGCAGGUUCACAUGUAUAACUGUGGCUCCUUCCACCUUCAAAAAUAGGCAAGAGGGCCAACCAUAAUUACGCUAUAAUUGUUUGUCCUUGUGGGUCCGUUCAUAUUUUUCAGCAUAAAGUACUCUGCAGCCACUUAGUGUGGUGUGGACACCAGGUGAGGCCACACACACACAUUCCUGUUGAACACUGUCACUUUAACAACCUUAUUUUCUCCAUAACAGUCUCUCUCCUUCACUUCAUCCCUCUCUCCCCUUCUCCCUAAAUCCUCUAGGUUAUAUCAGCUGUGUCGGUGAACACCUCCUGCAUCUGAACUGUCCACAUCGAGGGCACAGCAAUCCAGCCUUACAUUCUGGCACAGAGACUCAUUCGGGACUUCUCCAUAGACGGGGGGCUGGUUUUGUGGCUGUUGGACUUCCUGAGCCAACACUCACAAUAUGUUUUGAUGUGAGAGGAUGCCAACCCCCAGUCCCAUCAUCGCCACCUCACCUGCUUUUAAGAUAAACAUUGUGCCGACUAGACACUUAUGUAAUUGUGAUGAACUGAGAGAAUAUUUAUGUAGCACUGUGAUUCAUUAAUCCUGUGCUGCCUUCCCUGCUCCUUUGAGCUUAACUCUGUCCCUUUUUGUCUGUAACACCUCUCUCGCCACCUCCUCUUUCUUCCUCUGUUUUUAUAAUGCACAUCAGAUGUGCAUUGAAGUACAGAUUGAACUUGUAUUUAUAACAC